This 459-nucleotide ribosomal RNA is filed under the name uncultured bacterium. RNAcentral's name for it is "partial 16S ribosomal RNA". It matches the Rfam family "Bacterial small subunit ribosomal RNA", at positions 338 to 795 of the family's 1533-position model. The record is from RNAcentral.
CCUACGGGUGGCAGCAGUGAGGAAUAUUGGUCAAUGGGAGAGAUCCUGAACCAGCCAAGCCGCGUGAGGGAAGACGGCCCUAUGGGUUGUAAACCUCUUUUGUCGGGGAACAAAACCCGGGACGUGUCCCGGACUGCGUGUAUCCGCAGAAAAAGCAUCGGCUAACUCCGUGCCAGCAGGCGCGGUAAGACGGAGGAUGCGAGCGUUAUCCGGAUUUAUUGGGUUUAAAGGGUGCGUAGGCGGUCCGUUAAGUCAGAGGGAAAAUUGCGGGGCCCAACCCCGUCGAGCCGUUGAAACUGGCAGACUUGAGUUGGCGAGAGGUACGCGGAAUGCGCGGUGUAGCGGUGAAAUGCAUAGAUAUCGCGCAGAACUCCGAUUGCGAAGGCAGCGUACCGGCGCCAGACUGACGCUGAGGCACGAAAGCGUGGGGAUCGAACAGGAUUAGAUACCCUUGUAGUC